This 236-nucleotide long non-coding RNA is filed under the name Elaeis guineensis (African oil palm). RNAcentral describes it as "long non-coding RNA (EGUI_LNC071870)". Lineage: Eukaryota; Viridiplantae; Streptophyta; Magnoliopsida; Arecales; Arecaceae. The record is from RNAcentral.
CAUGACGAAAGAUCUCGGUCGAGAGAGCGAGAGCCAGAAGGCCAAUAUCCGGUAGGAGGAGAAGAAACUUCUUCUCGAUCUCAUGAGCAGCUGAUGGAUAAUUCUCAAUCGACGAUCCAUAGAUAUUUGCUAUCAGGCAUCAUUUCGGCUACAGUUUCUGUCGAAAUAUACUUCGAAUUUUGUACCCAUAACUUGAUCUGUUCGAGCUGCCCAAUCCCAAGAUGGAUAUGAAAGAU